UGACGAGCGGCGGACGGGUGAGUAAUGUCUGGGAAACUGCCUGAUGGAGGGGGAUAACUACUGGAAACGGUAGCUAAUACCGCAUAAUGUCGCAAGACCAAAGUGGGGGACCUUCGGGCCUCAUGCCAUCAGAUGUGCCCAGAUGGGAUUAGCUAGUAGGUGGGGUAACGGCUCACCUAGGCGACGAUCCCUAGCUGGUCUGAGAGGAUGACCAGCCACACUGGAACUGAGACACGGUCCAGACUCCUACGGGAGGCAGCAGUGGGGAAUAUUGCACAAUGGGCGCAAGCCUGAUGCAGCCAUGCCGCGUGUAUGAAGAAGGCCUUCGGGUUGUAAAGUACUUUCAGCGGGGAGGAAGGCGAUAAGGUUAAUAACCUUGUCGAUUGACGUUACCCGCAGAAGAAGCACCGGCUAACUCCGUGCCAGCAGCCGCGGUAAUACGGAGGGUGCAAGCGUUAAUCGGAAUUACUGGGCGUAAAGCGCACGCAGGCGGUCUGUCAAGUCGGAUGUGAAAUCCCCGGGCUCAACCUGGGAACUGCAUUCGAAACUGGCAGGCUAGAGUCUUGUAGAGGGGGGUAGAAUUCCAGGUGUAGCGGUGAAAUGCGUAGAGAUCUGGAGGAAUACCGGUGGCGAAGGCGGCCCCCUGGACAAAGACUGACGCUCAGGUGCGAAAGCGUGGGGAGCAAACAGGAUUAGAUACCCUGGUAGUCCACGCCGUAAACGAUGUCGAUUUGGAGGUUGUGCCCUUGAGGCGUGGCUUCCGGAGCUAACGCGUUAAAUCGACCGCCUGGGGAGUACGGCCGCAAGGUUAAAACUCAAAUGAAUUGACGGGGGCCCGCACAAGCGGUGGAGCAUGUGGUUUAAUUCGAUGCAACGCGAAGAACCUUACCUGGUCUUGACAUCCACAGAACUUAGCAGAGAUGCUUUGGUGCCUUCGGGAACUGUGAGACAGGUGCUGCAUGGCUGUCGUCAGCUCGUGUUGUGAAAUGUUGGGUUAAGUCCCG
RNAcentral lists this ribosomal RNA (1004 nucleotides) under Klebsiella sp. RNAcentral describes it as "bacterial SSU rRNA". It matches the Rfam family "Bacterial small subunit ribosomal RNA", at positions 89 to 1089 of the family's 1533-position model. Lineage: Bacteria; Pseudomonadati; Pseudomonadota; Gammaproteobacteria; Enterobacterales; Enterobacteriaceae. The record is from RNAcentral.